UGCCAACCGCCGAUAAACCCCACCAAAGAAGAAGAAUAGCAGCUCGAGUCGAGAGCUCAACUCGGAACCGUCUUUCAGUGAAUAAUAACGUUCUACUCUUUGCUAUCAGAGCUAUCGUUUUCUUCGAGAAAAUACACAUUUGUAUGCUAUAGCUAUUAAUAUGCUUAGGCAUAUCUUUAGGCUUCAGAAAAGAGACUUCAGACGGACAGCUUUUUUGAGCGCUCUACGAAAAAGAAAAAUAUACCGGAUUCCGAACGUUCGAUUCAUUCUGUAGCGAAACAAUUGGCUUCAAUCUAUUGUUUGAUUCGGGGCGUGUUUUCAACCAAACGGAUACAGUUUAGUUUACGUCAGUUGUUUGGAACGUUGGUGAUCGUCAACUAUCACGACGGGAAAUCAAUCUGAUUAGCAACAGUUGCUGUUGAGCGAUUGCUGUCAUCUCUGAAACUAUUAGGCCUACGUGCAUUUCCCGACUAUUUUCUGAAGGCUUCAAUUCAUUGAUCAAAAACAUCAACCAGUGACGUAAAAAGUUGGUGGAAACAAGAUAAGAAACACGUCAUCAGACUAAAGGUCCAAAUAGGGGAUUUCAGAAGUCAGAGCACAUGGAAUCUACAAAAGCAGGUGACUACCUCAUGAAGCGGGUUGAGAGAAUGCCAGGAGUGUGCAACGCUGUCAUCAAGGCAAAGGGUGGCUACUUUGAAAAAUGGGGUGUAAUAGCCUACAUCAGCUCCUCCAGCCCUGAGUCAUGUCAUAGUGACUCAAACGACUGCUACAACUCCUCUUCCCUGCCACACAACUCCUCCCACAUCUGUCGCCAGGGCAAUGUGGUGGACACGCCCCUAACCACGGCAGGUCUCCCACUGGCCCAUACUACAGCAAAGACCAGUGCAAAAUGCAGCAUUACUAAAAUCAACGGCCUGGUGCUGCUGUGUAAGGUGUGUGGAGAUAUUGCAUCUGGAUUCCACUAUGGGGUCCAUGCCUGUGAGGGCUGCAAGGGUUUCUUCCGUCGGAGCAUCCAGCAGAACAUCCAGUAUAAGAAGUGCCUGAAGAACGAGAGCUGUGCCAUCAUGAGGAUCAACAGGAACCGCUGCCAGCAGUGUCGCUUCAAGAAGUGUCUGCUGGUCGGCAUGUCCAAGGACUCUGUGCGUUUCGGCCGCAUCCCAAAGCGUGAGAAGCAGCGCAUGCUGCUGGAGAUGCAGAGUGCCGUGAACAACAUGAUGAACAACAGCCAGCUACACAGCCAGCUCCACGGCAACACACCCCUCCCCCUGGCCAAUCAGCUUCAGGUGCCGGCCUGCCCUGGGGAGCCCCGCCCCCAAGAUGUUGACUCUGGUUUAGGCUCAUCCUCUUCCUCCACCUCUCCUGCCGCUUCCCCCGGGUCCAACCAAUCAGAGGAGCCCAAACAUCACCCAGAGUCUGCAGUCGCCAUGGAUACAAACCGAAGCCCUAUAUCGGCGUCUCCAAGUGGUUCAGACCGCGGGUCAGAGGAUGGGAUUGGCUCGGUGACCCGGGCCCACCAGGAGUCCUUCAUGUACAAUCAGAAGCAAGGUAGCCCCUCCACCCAGUCCCAGGCUGAUGCCCAGCCGACCUCCCCGGGGGAGGAGCAACGUGUCAGUGACACUGGAAAGAGGAUAGAGGAGAGGAACUGGAACCAGCAGGAGGCCUGGAACCAGAAGAACCAGAACCAGCAGAAUGACCUGGCCUCAUUCACAGCCACUCAGGCCCACGACCAGGCUCAGGAGAGACCCACCAACACUGGGCCUCAGGGCCCUGACAGGCACCAUUGCCAGGGGGAUGACACCACCACCCCUAGCCAUUGCCCCUACAGCAGAGGUACUCCCACCACCCCCACCCAGAAUCACUGUCUCUACAGUAGAGACAGACUGCCCAACAGCUCCCCUAGUGGCUAUUUCCCAGCCUACACCCACCAUGGAGGCAACAACAGCACUAGCCAGGCCACCUCCAACUCCCAUGGAGGAUUCACAGGACCACUGUGGAGCGGGGGCAACAGGAUGCAUCUGCUGUGUCCCAUGAACACAUCUCCCCAUGUGAAUCCCCAUAAGUCAGGCCAUGGGAUCUGGGAGGAGUUCAGCCACAGUUUCACCCCGGCCGUCAGGGAGGUGGUGGAGUUUGCCAAGCGGAUCCCAGGCUUCAGCGACCUCUCCCAACACGACCAGGUCAGCCUGCUCAAGGCUGGUACCUUUGAGGUGCUAGUGGUCCGUUUUGCGUCGCUGUUUGAUGUGAAAGACCGCACUGUGACAUUCCUGGGUGGUACCAAGUACAGCGUGGAGGCGUUACGAGCCAUGGGCGCCGGCGACUUCCUGACCUCCAUGAUGGACUUCAGCGAAAAUCUGAUGGGGCUCGGCCUUAACGAGGAGGAGAUGAGCCUGUUCACCACCGUUGUCCUCAUCUCUGCCGAUCGCUCAGGGAUUGAGAAUGUGAACUCUGUGGAGGCGCUUCAGGAUACUCUGAUACGGCACCUGAAGGGCCUCGUCACUAAGAACCACACCAACGAGUCGGCCAUAUUCACCAAGCUGCUCCUCAGACUGCCCGAACUGCGCUCCCUUAAUAACAUGCACUCUGAGCAGCUGCUGGCCUUCAAGAUCCAUCACUAGACCAGAACCAAGUUCUGAACCUGGGGAGUAUUCAUUAGGCACCAAAUGGAACAUUUACUGAGAUGGGGAGGUAACACAUGAACUUGCCCAAUAAUAAAUGCUUGUUUUUUUCCCCCGUUGCCAAACCUUUUGCUAUGGUGUGCCCUAAUGAAUAUGACCAUGGACAUUGGGUCUGAGGCCUGUGGUUGUGGACCACAAAGCCCAUUUCUCCACCCACCCUGACACACCUCGACCAUCUACACUAAUGAACUAUGAACCCUGCCUGACCUCCAAGAGAACCCUCAUCACGCCCCUCACUUCACGUGAUCAUUUCCCUUCACAAACAAGUUGAAGUAGUCAGCAAAUGUGUCAAGAUCAAAGGGGAGGGAGGGGAAAUACUUAAGACUUCAAAGUUAUCGUACUGUAAGGCUGAAAGGCUUCUGUUGUAAAAACCAUGAAUGCACACGUUCAGACACAAGCGGAAGAUAUUAUGUUUCUUUGUCUUGUUCCUGUGUCCAUGUUGUGUUGUGUAGGAAGUUUGCAACUGUACAACCCUUAGAGAAGAACCUUUUAUAUCUUUUAUUUUUGCAUAUUUUUGGUGCAAUAUGAUAUGUGAUUUGUUUAUUUACACUUUUCGUUUAGGUCUUACACAAUGGCUCUCCAACCCUGUUCCCGGAGAGCUACCACCUUGUAGGUCUUUGCUCCAACCCUGUUUCUGGAGAGCUACGAUCCUGUAGGUUUUUGCUCCAACCCUGUUCCUGCAGAGCUACGAUCCUGUAGGUUUUUGCUCCAACCCUGUUCCUGGAGAGCUACCACCCUGUAGGUUUUUGCUCCAACCCUCUUCCUGUAGAGCUACCACCCUGUAGGUCUUUGCUCCAACCCUGUUCCUGGAGAGCUACCACCCUGUAGGUCUUUGCUCCAACCCUCUUCCUGGAGAGCUACCACCCUGUAGGUCUUUGCUCCAACCCUCUUCCUGGAGAGCUACCACCCUGUAGGUCUUUGCUCCAACCCUGUUCCUGGAGAGCUACGAUCCUGUAGGUUUUUGCUCCAACCCUGUUCCUGGAGAGCUACGAUCCUGUAGGUUUUUGCUCCAACCCUGUUCCUGGAGAGCUACGAUCCUGUAGGUUUUUGCUCCAACCCUGUUCCUGGAGAGCUACCACCCUGUAGGUUUUUGCUCCAACCCUCUUCCCGGAGAGCUACCACCCUGUAGGUUUUUGCUCCAACCCUCUUCCUGGAGAGCUACCACCCUGUAGGUUUUUGCUCCAACCCUCUUCCUGGAGAGCUACCACCCUGUAGGUUUUUGCUCCAACCCUCUUCCUGGAGAGCUAGCACCCUGUAGGUUUUUGCUCCAACCCUCUUCCUGGAGAGUGACCACCCUGUAGGUUUUUGCUCUAACCCAACCCUAAUCAAGCACACUUGAUUCUAAUAAUUAGCUGGUUGAUAAGGUGAAUCAGGUUAAGUACAACUGUGGUUGGAGUGAAAACCUACAGGAAGGUAGCUUUCUAAGAACAGGGUUAGAGAGCUUUGUUCUACACCUUGGGUGUAUUUAAAAUAAACAUGUAUAUAUUUAUAAUUGUAGGCAGACUAAUCUAGAAGAAUGUUGUGCUUAUUGCCUGAAAUGACAGGGUGAUUCUAAAGGGGGUUAGGGCUCGUUAAUUAAACUCCAAACCAUCUAGUUGAAAGUAAACUGACAAUGAAUGAAUGACUACAGAGGUUUGUUUCCUCUCUAAACUAUAGGUGUUGAAUGACAUUAAGGGGGAUGUUGUAAAAGCAUAGAUGGACGUAUGUAAUCAGGGUAACCGCUGCUGCGUUACCUCUGUCUCGGUGUGGCCCGAUCUAGUCACCUGAGGAAGGGCUUUGAUUGAAUGUUUAUUUGUAUAGAGGAAUCUCUUAUUUCAAGCUUACAGUUUCAGCUGAUGGUGCUGUGUGUGUUACACGCAUAUAGGAGGUUUGUUGUAAAUUAUGUUCUUGUAAAUUAUCAUGUUCUUGUAAGGUUAUGAACUAACUGAAGUCCAUCAUUGACAAACACGGUCCAGUCACUUAAUUAUUAUAGUGUAUGGUAAUAGACCGCAUUUGUAUGAUAUGAGUGCAAAUGGAGAGGAAAUGAAAUGCAUUGAGGUUAUUCGAACUGACAAAGGUUAACGUUGGUAACCAAUAAAACCUAUCGACUCAACACAACUCUGCUUGAAGACAUUUUAGUUGUUAUUUCCAUGUCAAAAGGAUAAAAUUGUUAUUGUCAUUUUGGGGGGUGCACAUUUUUAGGUGACAGUUUCGGUAAAAAAAAAGAUCCAAUUAAACUGCGCUAUUUGAUUUUACAGAAACUACUUUGAGUGCUAAUUAUGCAUAUUUGUUAACUGUGUUUAAUUUGUUUCAUGAAAAUGUUUUUUGCACACAUUGAUAUCGUGUCUAAGCCCAUUUGGAAAUAAAUAAUCUAUACAAAAAAUA
RNA transcript from Oncorhynchus keta (chum salmon), 5036 nucleotides. It is a transcript of the gene named nuclear receptor subfamily 1 group D member 2-like, with no coding region annotated. The record is from RefSeq and is a predicted model, not a curated record. NCBI's taxonomy places the organism in Eukaryota, Metazoa, Chordata, Actinopteri, Salmoniformes, Salmonidae. The transcript has 11 exons.